RNAcentral lists this long non-coding RNA (1376 nucleotides) under Fukomys damarensis (Damara mole-rat). Its description in RNAcentral is "lncRNA (ENSFDAG00000031647.1)". Lineage: Eukaryota; Metazoa; Chordata; Mammalia; Rodentia; Bathyergidae. The record is from RNAcentral.
AUGAUGAUGAUGAUGAUGAUGAUGAUGGUGAUGAUGAUGAUGAUGAUGAUGAUUGAUGUUAUAGGGCACCUACUGAAGCAGGACUUAAAGAAAAAACAAGUUCUUCCCAUCCUCGGACAGUCCCCCCUCCUCCGGUCACCACCUUUCUCCCUUGUAGCUGCAACUCCUUGUUCUGGUGCCUGUUGAGCCAGUGUUCACCCAAAACCUGACACAAAUCCUCCUGACUCCCAUUGUUCUCUCCCUCCCAUCUCUUGGAAUUCUCCAACACUGCCUCAUAUAACUGUGAAGAUUAAAUGAACAACAGAUGAGCCACCCCACCCCACCCCAGGGCCCAGGACCUAGAAGGUAAUGCUCCGUGAAGCCUGUGUUGUUUGUCUACUCAGCUCAGGCUGCUGUCCUCUCUCUUGGACUUGCUCUGUGUGCAGGCGCUGUGAAGUUAAGUCAUUCAUUACCCCAAAAGCACGCUGCCAAGAGUGGGGAAGGUCAAAUACAAACUCCUAUAGUCUGGUUCUAUAGUCCAUGAUCAUAAACCCUCUGUUAUCUCUCUUUCUAAACUGAGAACUUAAGGUGAUUACAUGUUAGGAGAGAUACCCUUUGGGGUGUGGGCAAUGAAAAGAGUCUGAGGUGACAGUAGGUAAGAGAACUCUGGAAGUCAGAGAGGAGCACAUACCGAAGUUCUGAGGCGUAAGAGACAUUGAGGACACUUAGUACCAUGAGAGAUGUCUAAAGUGAUGAGAACUUUCUCCCCUUGUUCACAUCCUGGCACACUUAGAAGAUGGUACUGUUCAGGUAGGCCACAAGAGGAGUAAACGAGGGCGGGGAAAUGGGAAAACACAAGAUGGUGGUACUUUGGUUCAGGCUGUAAAGAGAGGGGCGUCUGGGAGAUUUGGGGGUCUGUGUCAACAGAGCCCCAGCACAGGCGCAUCUUCUUCUGUAACCAAGGCCAAUGCUGGCCAGCUGCUGUGCAUUUUGGUAUAAAUGUAGACUGAGCAGCUGAGGGCUGCUGAAACCAUGGGCAGGCUAGGGGCCUGAGGACUGCUAUAUGGGUGCUGAUAGCUGAGCUGAGCCUCUGAGCACAAGGGUAAGUUCAGACCUUCCCAGGAGUCUGUGUCUCUCCUUUGGGCUGCCCACAUCUCGAGUGAGCCGCCUCGGUCUUAACUGGUAACAAGACAGUGGAUGAGAGGUCUGUAGCUGGAGGAACCUGGCCCAGGGUCAGAGUCUCAGUCCUGGGCAUGUCUAUCAUCCCUUCAUAGAAAACCUCGAGAACGUGAGUUAACGUGACACCGAGACUGGAGAGUGAGACAACAGGAUAAGCAUAACCUCAUAGGCUACGAGAUGGAUUUAAAUGCCAAUUGGAGCAUACUGGGAAACCACAA